GACGAACGCUGGCGGCGUGCUUAACACAUGCAAGUCGAACGGAAAGGCCCUGCUUUUGUGGGGUGCUCGAGUGGCGAACGGGUGAGUAACACGUGAGUAACCUGCCCUUGACUUUGUGAUAACUUCAGGAAACUGGGGCUAAUACCGGAUAGGAGCUCCUGCUGCAUGGUGGUGGUUGGAAAGUUUCGGCGGUUGGGGAUGGACUCGCGGCUUAUCAGCUUGUUGGUGGGGUAGUGGCUUACCAAGGCUUUGACGGGUAGCCGGCCUGAGAGGGUGAACGGCCACAUUGGGACUGAGAGACGGCGCAGAAUCCUACGGGAGGCAGCAGUGGGGAAUAUUGCACAAUGGGCGGAAGCCUGAUGCAGCAACGUCGCGUGCGGGAUGACGGCCUUCGGGUGGUAAACCGCUUUCGCCUGUGACGAAGCGUGAGUGACGGUAAUGGGUAAAGAAGCACCGGCUAACUACGUG
Molecule: ribosomal RNA, 468 nt
Filed under: uncultured bacterium
Lineage: Bacteria
Description: partial 16S ribosomal RNA
Rfam family: Bacterial small subunit ribosomal RNA
Source: RNAcentral